This 253-nucleotide ribosomal RNA is filed under the name uncultured bacterium. Its description in RNAcentral is "partial 16S ribosomal RNA". It matches the Rfam family "Bacterial small subunit ribosomal RNA", at positions 524 to 776 of the family's 1533-position model. The record is from RNAcentral.
UACGAAGGGUGCAAGCGUUACUCGGAAUUACUGGGCGUAAAGCGUGCGUAGGUGGUCGUUUAAGUCUGUUGUGAAAGCCCUGGGCUCAACCUGGGAACUGCAGUGGAAACUGGAGGACUAGAGUGUGGUAGAGGGUAGCGGAAUUCCCGGUGUAGCAGUGAAAUGCGUAGAGAUCGGGAGGAACAUCCAUGGCGAAGGCAGCUACCUGGACCAACACUGACACUGAGGCACGAAGGCGUGGGGAGCAAACAGG